UGGCGAUGAUGAUAAAACUAAGGCUUGUUUCUCAAAACAUUCGCAGAUGCCGCCUAAGAGCUUUCGCACUGCCAGGCUUGAGAGCUAAUGCUGCUAAUUCCUUCCUUGGAUGUCUGAGCCA
This 121-nucleotide small nucleolar RNA is filed under the name Triticum dicoccoides. RNAcentral describes it as "snoRNA SNORD14". It matches the Rfam family "Small nucleolar RNA SNORD14". From Rfam's summary of the family: U14 small nucleolar RNA (U14 snoRNA) is required for early cleavages of eukaryotic precursor rRNAs. In yeasts, this molecule possess a stem-loop region (known as the Y-domain) which is essential for function. Lineage: Eukaryota; Viridiplantae; Streptophyta; Magnoliopsida; Poales; Poaceae. The record is from RNAcentral.